This 216-nucleotide ribosomal RNA is filed under the name Glomeromycotina sp. RNAcentral's name for it is "partial small subunit ribosomal RNA". The stretch from base 75 to 216 matches the Rfam family "Eukaryotic small subunit ribosomal RNA", at positions 721 to 864 of the family's 1831-position model. Lineage: Eukaryota; Fungi; Glomeromycota. The record is from RNAcentral.
GGGUCAGUAGGUUGGUCGUGCCACCGGUACGUACUGGUCUCACUGAUUCCUCCUUCCCGAAGAACCGUAAUGCCAUUAAUUUGGUGUUGCGGGGAAACAGGACUGUUACUUUGAAAAAAUUAGAGUGUUUAAAGCAAGCUAACGCUUGAAUACAUUAGCAUGGAAUAAUGAAAUAGGGCGAUCGAUCCUAUUUUGUUGGUUUCUAGGAUUGACGUA